UUUACUUCUAAACAAUGUUUUGGAAGUUUUAGCCUCUUUUGGGACAAAAUGGGUAUAAGUGUUGUCUAAACACUCCUAAUCCAUCUCUAAGUCAUAUAAUUAGUCCAAUGCAUUGGAUUGUAAUAUAUUUUGACCUUUGAAACACUAAAAAAGUUAUUU
RNAcentral lists this small RNA (159 nucleotides) under Arabidopsis thaliana (thale cress). RNAcentral's name for it is "ATSL204750". Lineage: Eukaryota; Viridiplantae; Streptophyta; Magnoliopsida; Brassicales; Brassicaceae. The record is from RNAcentral.